This is a long non-coding RNA of Gossypium arboreum, 279 nucleotides long. RefSeq lists it as uncharacterized. The record is from RefSeq and is a predicted model, not a curated record. Lineage: Eukaryota; Viridiplantae; Streptophyta; Magnoliopsida; Malvales; Malvaceae. The transcript is spliced from 2 exons.
GGAAAAGAGAAAGUGAACGAAGAUAUCGAUUAAAUUCGAUAAAUAGUGGCUAGGUACGAAAGUAUAAGGACUCAGCAUACAAGCCGAUCCCCAAACUCAAAUUGGUGAAGUUUCUAUCUUUUUGGAAAAUGGCAUUGUACCUAGGAUGUCUUUUGGUUAUUUUGAAAGUAUCUAAGUUGUUAAAUGAUAUUUUGGUAUGUUUUGUAAAUGUUACCAAAACCUUAAGUAUGGUAUGUUUUGAUAUGUUAGUGAAGAGUAAUAAGAGGAAUUGUUGGUAAA